UCAAAGGAUGCUGGAGCCAACAUCUGCUACCCCAUUGAUCACCAGAGUUGAUUUGGCUGAUCUGGCUGGCUAUGUGGGUGUCCCCUUCCUCCCUCACCACUCAAUGUGCAUUCCUCCCAAAGCUGCCCCCACAGUCGAAGAAGACAGCUUUUACCGCUAGUAGACUUGUAGGCAAGCACACAGAAUGUUGUAAGGAUGUUGUCAAGUUUUAAUGUUUAAUGUGUCAAGUUUAUUGUAUUUUUUCAUGAUAAAAAUAAUAAAACUCA
Molecule: small RNA, 266 nt
Filed under: Nomascus leucogenys (northern white-cheeked gibbon)
Lineage: Eukaryota; Metazoa; Chordata; Mammalia; Primates; Hylobatidae
Description: 7SK RNA (ENSNLEG00000022883.2)
Rfam family: 7SK RNA (bases 6-178)
About the family: 7SK was discovered as an abundant small nuclear RNA in the mid-70s but a possible function has only recently been suggested. Two independent studies have found that 7SK RNA binds the CDK9/cyclin T complex (known as elongation factor P-TEFb). P-TEFb activates transcription by phosphorylating the C-terminal domain of RNA polymerase II.
Source: RNAcentral